CGCAAUAAUCAUUCGGAAAUUAAUGCACCGGAUCCCAUUAGAAUUCCGCAUUUAAGCGUGCUUGGGCGAGAGCAGUACUAGGAUGGGUGACCUCCUGGGAGGUCCUCGUGUUGCACCCC
This 119-nucleotide ribosomal RNA is filed under the name Beta vulgaris subsp. vulgaris (sugar beet). The record is from RNAcentral. Lineage: Eukaryota; Viridiplantae; Streptophyta; Magnoliopsida; Caryophyllales; Amaranthaceae.